RNAcentral lists this transfer RNA (72 nucleotides) under Ovis aries (sheep). It matches the Rfam family "tRNA". From Rfam's summary of the family: Transfer RNA (tRNA) molecules are approximately 80 nucleotides in length. Their secondary structure includes four short double-helical elements and three loops (D, anti-codon, and T loops). Further hydrogen bonds mediate the characteristic L-shaped molecular structure. tRNAs have two regions of fundamental functional importance: the anti-codon, which is responsible for specific mRNA codon recognition, and the 3' end, to which the tRNAs corresponding amino acid is attached (by aminoacyl-tRNA synthetases). tRNAs cope with the degeneracy of the genetic code in two manners: having more than one tRNA (with a specific anti-codon) for a particular amino acid; and 'wobble' base-pairing, i.e. permitting non-standard base-pairing at the 3rd anti-codon position. Lineage: Eukaryota; Metazoa; Chordata; Mammalia; Artiodactyla; Bovidae. The record is from Rfam by way of RNAcentral.
UCCCUGGUAGCUUAGUCAGUAAAGAAUCUGCCUGCAAUGCAGGAGAUCCGGGUUCAAUUCCUGGGUUGGGAA